This 759-nucleotide ribosomal RNA is filed under the name Methanosarcina sp. enrichment culture clone A2-50. RNAcentral describes it as "bacterial SSU rRNA". It matches the Rfam family "Archaeal small subunit ribosomal RNA", at positions 102 to 859 of the family's 1478-position model. Lineage: Archaea; Methanobacteriati; Methanobacteriota; Methanomicrobia; Methanosarcinales; Methanosarcinaceae. The record is from RNAcentral.
GGAUAACCUGCCCUUGGGACCGGCAUAACCCCGGGAAACUGGGGAUAAUUCCGGAUAACGCAUAUGUGCUGGAAUGCUUUAUGCGUAAAAUGGAUUCGUCUGCCCAAGGAUGGGUCUGCGGCCUAUCAGGUAGUAGUGGGUGUAAUGUACCUACUAGCCAGCGACGGGUACGGGUUGUGAGAGCAAGAGCCCGGAGAUGGAUUCUGAGACAUGAAUCCAGGCCCUACGGGGCGCAGCAGGCGCGAAAACUUUACAAUGCGGGAAACCGUGAUAAGGGGACACCGAGUGCCAGCAUCAUAUGCUGGCUGUCCAGGUGUGUAAAAUACACCUGUUAGCAAGGGCCGGGCAAGACCGGUGCCAGCCGCCGCGGUAACACCGGCGGCCCGAGUGGUGAUCGUGAUUAUUGGGUCUAAAGGGUCCGUAGCCGGUUUGGUCAGUCCUCCGGGAAAUCUGAUAGCUCAACUAUUAGGCUUUCGGGGGAUACUGCCAGACUUGGAACCGGGAGAGGUAAGAGGUACUACAGGGGUAGGAGUGAAAUCUUGUAAUCCCUGUGGGACCACCUGUGGCGAAGGCGUCUUACCAGAACGGGUUCGACGGUGAGGGACGAAAGCUGGGGGCACGAACCGGAUUAGAUACCCGGGUAGUCCCAGCCGUAAACGAUGCUCGCUAGGUGUCAGGCAUGGCGCGACCGUGUCUGGUGCCGCAGGGAAGCCGUGAAGCGAGCCACCUGGGAAGUACGGCCGCAAGGCUGAAACUUAA